CAGCCGCCGCGGUAAUACGUAGGUGGCAAGCGUUGUCCGGAAUUAUUGGGCGUAAAGGGCUCGCAGGCGGUUUCUUAAGUCUGAUGUGAAAGCCCCCGGCUCAACCGGGGAGGGUCAUUGGAAACUGGGAAACUUGAGUGCAGAAGAGGAGAGUGGAAUUCCACGUGUAGCGGUGAAAUGCGUAGAGAUGUGGAGGAACACCAGUGGCGAAGGCGACUCUCUGGUCUGUAACUGACGCUGAGGAGCGAAAGCGUGGGGAGCGAACAGGAUUAGAGACCCCAGUAGUCCCUGUCUCUUAUAU
This 301-nucleotide ribosomal RNA is filed under the name uncultured bacterium. RNAcentral describes it as "partial 16S ribosomal RNA". It matches the Rfam family "Bacterial small subunit ribosomal RNA", at positions 509 to 809 of the family's 1533-position model. The record is from RNAcentral.